GACGAACGCUGGCGGCGUGCUUAACACAUGCAAGUCACGGGGGCCCGCAAGGGCAACCGGCGAACGGGUGCGUAACACGUGAACAACCUGCCCUCGUGUGGGGGAUAGCCAUGCUAACGCGUGGGUAAUACCGCAUACGUUCCCUUGGAGGAGUCUCUGGGGGAGGAAAGCUCCGGCGCACGGGGAGGGGUUCGCGGCCUAUCAGCUAGUUGGCGGGGUAAUGGCCCACCAAGGCGACGACGGGUAGCUGGCUGAGAGGAUGGCCAGCCACAUUGGGACUGAGAGACGGCCCAGACUCCUACGGGAGGCAGCAGUGGGGAAUCUUGCGCAAUGGCCGAAAGGCUGACGCAGCGACGCCGCGUGUGGGAUGAAGCAUUUCGGUGUGUAAACCACUGUUGCCCGGGACGAACAGCCUGUUUCGACAGGUCUGACGGUACCGGGUGAGGAAGCACCGGCUAACUCCGUGCCAGCCGCCGCGGUAAU
This 483-nucleotide ribosomal RNA is filed under the name uncultured bacterium. RNAcentral describes it as "bacterial SSU rRNA". It matches the Rfam family "Bacterial small subunit ribosomal RNA", at positions 28 to 524 of the family's 1533-position model. The record is from RNAcentral.